Molecule: long non-coding RNA, 6566 nt
Filed under: Trifolium pratense (red clover)
Lineage: Eukaryota; Viridiplantae; Streptophyta; Magnoliopsida; Fabales; Fabaceae
Description: long non-coding RNA (TPRA_LNC002089)
Source: RNAcentral
UGGGAUGAUAAAAUUUCCUUUCUUUCUAACUCGCGUGACUCUGGCUGGUUGCAAUUGGAAGUUGGAACCUAUGGCAACGCUUGAAGAGCUGGACGAAUCUACGGGCAAAAGCAAGAAGAAAAGGAAUCAUGGCUCGACCAGACUCUUUGUCUUCAUUGAUUACCUUUUCCUUUUCAUUUUCCUUUGUUUUCUCUGUUUCAUAAUCUUCAAAAUGCUCGGUAGCAUUUCAAUUUGAUUCCUCCUCGUACCACACAAAAAACCUCAAUCAGAGGUAACAACUUAGAUGAUGCUAUUGAUGUUAUUUUUAUAUUAUGCUUUUGAAUAUGUGUGACUCUCUCUCUGUUUGCAUAGAUUAGAUCCCUUAUAUCAAAUGUAUUUCUACCUCUGAUUUAAUUUUAUUUAUUGUUUCCAUUAAAUAUUACGGAGAAUUUAUAUAAAUAUAAGUUGAAACUAGCUUAUAGACAUGACAUGUUAUAAGUUAUUUUCAUAAGCUCUUUUAGAAAUCUUCAAAGUGCUUAUACUUAUACCAUUAGCUAAUUAGCUAAAACUCAAACAAUUCAAUCCGUUAAGAAUCCCACAUUGAAUGAUUCUAAGUUUCUAACUAAAUCCUACAAAAUCAGUUUGUAAGGUGAGAAUUGUUCCUACUUAUAAACAUAUCUUUAGACCGUUUCUUGUCCAAUGUGGAACUCUUAACACACACUCUCACGCCUAUAAGGGGUGCCCAUUGGAUUUUGAACCAGACUCUGAUACCGUCUUAGAAUAUGCUAUAAAAUCGACUUAUGAGGUGCAGAUUUCCUCCACUUAUAAACAUAUCUUCUGGCUGUCUCUCUUGUCCAAUGUGGGACUCUUUACACACACCCUCGCGCCUAUAAGGUGGCCCAUUGGAUUUUGAACCAGACUCUGAUACCAUCUUAGAAUAUGCUAUAAAACCGACUUAUGAGGUGCAGAUUUCCUCCAAUUAUAAACAUAUAUUUAGGUCAUUUGUCAUCCAAUGUGGGAAUCUUAACGCAGUCGAAACAGGCCAGUUGAACAUUUAUAAAGCGAUUUUUUUGCUAUUGAUUAAUGAAAGUUUGGUUAUCCCUUUGGGAAGUUAUGCUUUAUUUAAUGAAUAUGAUAGUUUCCCUUUAGUUAAGGGAAAGGGAAAUUAAUAACUGUAACAACUGUCAGUACGGAAGCACCAAGAGUUAGUUAGAAGAAUAGAAGUUAGUUACAGUAGGAAAGGAUUAAUAGGAGUCAGUGAGUAAGGAGAAAACAGUUUUUCUGUAAGACACAAAGUGUAGGAGAGAAAAGGCCUCCCGGAUGCCUUCGAGAGUUUACUUUUGUUUUGAGUUUGUUCCCAUGUUUGUAUAUUGAGUGAAUUAUGAGCUCCCCCUAAUACGAAUCGUUCAGGAGAACCCGAGUUCGAUUCCUGGUGUGAACAAUUCUUGGCCAGACUUCACUUACCUCGCGGCCAAACUUUGGAUUACCGGGCUCCCUUUUCCCUGUUCCCUGUGAACCAGAGGAUUAAUACCAAAAUAAAAUAUUGAGUGAAUUAUUUCUAGUUUCCUUUUUGGGAUAUGUUCUUAUAGGCUUCAUAGAUUUUGAAAUGUACAUACAUUAUUAACAUGGUUGGUGUUUACUGGUGUGUAUUCUUGAAAGUGCUUUCUUUUGAUUUACUUUUUCCGCGCCUCCUUUUUAAUUUGGCAGGAUAUUCUUUCUGGCAUCCUAUGGCAGAUCUAAUUCCAAACUGGAAAGAUUUUGGUAUUUCUCAGUUUUGAUCAGAUCCUAACAUGCAAUACUUGAAUACGGAGCAUUCUUUUGAAAUGUUGAUAUUAUUAUUUGUGAUCUCUAGAUCAAAGGACAACUUACUCAAUAGUCUCUCUAUGUACCAAAUAAUGUUGUGUAUUUAUGUACCAAACUUUUGUAAAGCAUGAUGUGAAAUGUUGAGGAAAAUUGAAAAGUUUGUUGUCCUAUAUCAGUUGUUUGAUUCAAAGUGUGAAUUUGUGAUAUGCCUUCAGUGUCAAGAGAAUCUGUGUCAUUGUUAAUAGCAGUUUUUGUCAUUGUCAAUGUCAACAACAUUUUGUUUGUGUCAUUCAUUACUUAAAUGGAAAGUCUCUGCAUCGAUUAAUUGGAUAAGCAUAUCAUAUUAUCCACAUUAAUUAAUUUGCCAUGUGUUAAAUGACCCCAUCAAAUUAAUUAGGAAUAUUUUUAGAUUGUGUUUUAUACCUUUUAUUCCUGCUUUUAUAGUCUUGAUCAUGUGAUGUUAACUUCCUGAAUGAUUCCACAAUCAUCAACUACUUUGAGGAACAAUUAAAGUCAAAUAAUAUUAAAUGAAACCAGCAUGAAAACAUUAAACAAGCCACUUACAUACCAUGUUACUAGUGUGUGUACAUCUAGCAGUAGCACACUUAUUUUCAUGGCUAGAAAGCAGUAAAAACGAACUUAAUAAGCAUCACAAGCUCACAAACUAGGUCUAGCUAUUAUUGCAUUCAUGCAUGAAGGAAUUCAUGGAUGAACUGUUGAUGCAACUCUACCACCACCACCACCAUUGCCAGGGAUUGGAACCUCAAAACCCGGGUUUGGAACCUCAAAACCNNNNNNNNNNNNNNNNNNNNNNAACAUAACUGUGACCUGUUGAUCCUGAUCCUGAACCUGAUCCUGAUCCUGCUCCUGAUCCUCCACCGAUGCCACCGGCAUAUGGGUUAUUAGGAGUAAGUCCAAAGUUUGGUGGAAAUCCUAAAUGUCCAAUGCCUGGAUAAUGAAAUUUUUUACCAUGAUCAUGCUUGAACAGAAAAUCAGGCUCUUUCUUAUCGUCGUUAGCAAUGCUACGGCCGGCAACUACUUGCCAUUUUGUGACAAGGAGGAUAUUGAAAAUGAGAAGAAAUGCAAAGAAAGAGUAAGCUCUUUGUGCCAUUUUUAAGUUAUUUGCUAGUGAUAAUAUGUUUUACCUUGGUGAAUUUUGUGUUGAAGUCACAAGAGAGUGAAUGCAUUAUAUAGUAAUUUUGGUUCUACAUUGGCGGUGAGUAAAUUGUGACAUGAUUCAGUACUUGCUAGUAAUUUAUCAUCAGUUUUAUUGGUUGCUGUUUGUAGAAGAUAUUCACCAAUGUUUUGGCGGCUACUAAAUGAACCAUUUAUGCACCGAAGUUUGUAGAUAACAUAUGAAUUGAGAUAUUAUUGCUUCUACAUUCAUUCUUUAUGUUUCUUUGCUUUCUUUUGCUACUUAACUAAAACUUUAGAAGGUUUAAGAUAAGAUGAAGAUUAAAAUUAAAAUUAAGAGAUAACAUCAAGGUUGUCACAACCGGACCGGUCAUCGAACCGGCGAGCUCACCGGUUCAAGGUUCAAUUGGUCGGACCGGGUUCAAUCGNNNNNNNNNNNNNNNNNNNNNNNNNNNNNNNNNNNNNNNNNNNNNNNNNNNNNNNNNNNNNNNNNNNNNNNNNNNNNNNNNNNNNNNNNNNNNNNNNNNNNNNNNNNNNNNNNNNNNNNNNNNNNGGUUCAAGGUUCAAUUGGUCGGACCGGGUUCAAUCGGGGUCGAAUCGUUUUUAAUUAAAUAUAUAUUAUAAUUAAUAUAUAAAUAAAUAUAUAUAUGAAUAAUUUCUCAAUAUUUCAUAAUUUCACGAAUUAAAAAGAUAAAAUAUCAUAAGUCAAAAUAAAAUAAAAUUUAUAAUUCAAAUCAAAUGAAAAAUAGAUGAAAAACAAAAACUUUUCCUAUUCCUACGACGUCGUUGUUUUGUUUCAGAUUUUUUUAAAAAAAUAAAUAAAAAAUCUGCAAAACCGUUUGAACCGCCCGCCCGGUUCGCNNNNNNNNNNNNNNNNNNNNNNNNNNNNNNNNNNNNNNNNNNNNNNNNNNNNNNNNNNNNNNNNNNCGGUUUACGGUCCGACCGAUCCGACCGGCCGGUCCGGUUUUGAUAACCUUGGAUAACAUACAUAAGAUUAAGAUUUAGAUAUGAUGUUUAAUUUAUUAAGAUAACAUGUUUGAUAAAUUCUUACAUGUAUUUAUUAAUCUUUUACUCGACCGUUAUUAUAUCUUUGAAUUAUAAGAUUAAGAUUUAGUUAUGCUUCCAACAUAUUGAUGCUUCGUCUUGGUUUACAACUUGUUAUCUUUAACUUUCAAGGAAACUCACAUAUUUUCUUGCAUUCUUCACAAUGGAGGAAUUGUAUGCAUCUUCUUUCUCAAAUGUAUUUUAAAGUCACUCACAUUUUCAAAGAAGAAAAUUGUUGUGCUGAUAAAAUGACCAACAUUGGUUUAUCCACAAAUAGCUUCACUUAAUUGAUAGCUUGUCUAUCUCUAUUUGGAAUGAUUUCAAUUACAAUAUGCUAGGUUAACCUUAUAUAGGUUUUUUUGAUUUUGUUAUUUAUGUUUGAAUCUUUGUCUUAUCUCCGCAUUCUUUUUCGUUUCAUUAAGUUUUAUCCCAUAUUGAGUUUUUGGUGGUUAGGUUUUUAAUGAGACAGAUGAAUUCUUAUGCUUUGAGUUUUGUUCUAGUCCUCCCAAAAUUCCUUUGCAUCCUUCUUAUUUUAUUUUAUAUAAUAUACUUCAUUCAGGUAAACUUAUUUAGGGUGCCGACAUAGUUGAAAUAUCUUAGUCGUCACUUUUAUACUACUUGACUUUUAAAAAAAGUCACACUCGUAUUAAGUAUUAACUAUCUGAUAUUUAAGUUAUUUAGAGUCAACUCUUUAAAAUGUGACAAACAAUUAAUGUUGCACUGUUUUAUUUUAAAUGAUUUUUUUUAUUUUUUUUGUAGUUUAUGAUGUUAAUUUGUCAUGUUAAUUUUUUUUUUUUUAUAAUGAUGAGGGCCUAAGCCCAAAAAGAAAAUUACAUAAUGACUAGUCUAGGGGUAGUUAUCCCCAACAUAUCAGCAAGUAACAAACUACUUAAUUGCGACGGACACGUAUCAUAGAAAAUACUACAAGAUCUCAAUGAACACCCAAUAUUGGCAAGAGCAUCUGCACAUUUAUUUGCUUCACGGUAAGUGUGAUGAAUAACAACCUCCCAUUCCAUCUCAAGUAGUUGACGAAUCUUAUGAACCAAAGCACUUCCACAAUGACUCCUCUUCCCGCUUCCGAAAUAACUUGUCAUGUUAAUUAUGUGACAUAUUCUAUGCUUGUCGGUGUUUAAUUUUGAAAUAAAUUUUCUCAACUGAUGGUCUCACAUUUAGUGGUAUAAGAUCCACGUUGUGUUCGGUCUUGAUAUAUCCCUCUGUGUCAUUCUUAGAUUUUGUAGAUUUUGGAUAGUAUCUAAUUUUGUUUGUUAGAACAUGAUUAGCAUUUAAUAGCCCCUUUUGAAUAUAUAUUGUUCUGAAGUGAAUAUUUCAUUUUAGUGAUAUUUCAUCCCUUAAUAGGGUGAAACCAGAGUAAUAUUUGUUUUACCCGGAAGUCGGACCUACGAAGCGCAAACACUUCUCAUAUUAAACGUGUUCUGAUGUUGGACACACGUCGGUGCCGGACACCGACACAACACAACCAACACUAACACUUGUGAUUAUACAGAAUUAUAUCAUUUUCUCAAAUUAUUAUUGAUGUCGACAUGUCCAUCUCAUGUAUGGUGUUUGUGAUUUAUAGAGUUGGACAUUAUUAUGUGGUCCUUAUGAAAUUAUGAUAUUUUUUAUCAUUGGAUAAGAGGACAACUUACUCAAUAGUGCACCUGGGGUCUCAAUGUAGCAAAUAAUAUUGUGUAUUUAUUUAUGUACUAAACUUUCUGUAGAGCAUAUAUGAUGUGAAAUAAAUAAUAAGUGUACUCAAAGUUGAGGUAAAUUGUAGAAAUUGUUCUCCUACAUCAGUUGUUUGCUUCAAAGUGUGAAAUUGGAAAAUACAUUCCCUACCUUUUUUUUUUGAAUGGCAUACAUUCCCUGCCUUUAUUUAGAAGGUAGAUGAAUAUAAUUAAUUAACAUAAACUAUUUAGAUAAAAGACAAUGACCGACAAACUUACUAAGUCACAAAAUUUUAUGGGUAGAGAAUUCUUGUCUGUAAAAUUGAAAGUUGAAUAUGUGAUAUGCAUUCUGUCUCAAGGGAAUUUCUAUGUCCUUGUUAAUUUCUUUUUUUUACUAUGUCCUUGUUAAUUGCUGUUUGUGUCAAUGUCAACAUACUUUUGGUAUUAAUCCUCUGGUUAUUAGAAAAAAGAUGAUUACGAUAAUUCAGAGUUUGGAUGCGAGUUCUCCCGAACAAUUCGUCCUUAGAGGAGCUCAUUAACAACUUGACUCAAAUGUGUUGGUUGUCAAUGUCAACAUUUAAUUAGUGUGAUUCAUUACUUAAAUGCAAAGUCUUAUAAAAAUAAAUGAUGAAUAUUUUUAGUUAUUGUUUUAUGUACUUUAAUUAAUCCAGCUGCUUUUAUAUACGCAAUCAUUGAUGUUAAAUUGCUUAAUGCUGAUCCACAAUGAGCAACUACUUUAAAGAUCAAUCAAACUCGAAUAAUAUUCAAUUAAACCAACUAGAAAACAUUAAACAAGAAACUUACAUAUCAAGUAACAAGCCACUAGUGUGUGUACAUCAUAUCUAGAAGUAGCACACUUAUUUUUAUGGCUAGAAAUAAGGAAAAACGAUCUUAAAAAGCAUCAAAAGCUCAUAAACUCACAAACUAGGUCUAGCUAUUAUU